Molecule: transfer RNA, 71 nt
Filed under: Ornithorhynchus anatinus (platypus)
Lineage: Eukaryota; Metazoa; Chordata; Mammalia; Monotremata; Ornithorhynchidae
Rfam family: tRNA
About the family: Transfer RNA (tRNA) molecules are approximately 80 nucleotides in length.
Source: Rfam by way of RNAcentral
AGCAGCGUGGCUCAGUGGAAGAGCACAGACUUGGGAGUCAAAGGUCAUGGGUUCUAAUCCUGCCUCUGCUG